UACGUAGGGUGCGAGCGUUACUCGGAAUUACUGGGCGUAAAGCGUGCGCAGGCGGUUUUGUAAGUCAGAUGUGAAAUCCCCGGGCUUAACCUGGGAAUGGCAUUUGGGACUGCAAGGCUUGAGUGCGGCAGAGGAGACUGGAAUUCCUGGUGUAGCAGUGAAAUGCGUAGAUAUCAGGAGGAAUACCGAUGGCGAAGGCAGGUCUCUGGGCUGACACUGACGCUCAUGCACGAAAGCGUGGGGAGCAAACAGG
This 253-nucleotide ribosomal RNA is filed under the name uncultured bacterium. RNAcentral describes it as "partial 16S ribosomal RNA". It matches the Rfam family "Bacterial small subunit ribosomal RNA", at positions 524 to 776 of the family's 1533-position model. The record is from RNAcentral.